Molecule: ribosomal RNA, 1439 nt
Filed under: uncultured organism
Description: SSU rRNA
Rfam family: Bacterial small subunit ribosomal RNA
Source: RNAcentral
GCUACAGGCUUAACACAUGCAAGUCGAGGGGCAGCAUGGUCUUAGCUUGCUAAGGCCGAUGGCGACCGGCGCACGGGUGAGUAACACGUAUCCAACCUGCCGUCUACUCUUGGACAGCCUUCUGAAAGGAAGAUUAAUACAAGAUGGCAUCAUGAGUCCGCAUGUUCACAUGAUUAAAGGUAUUCCGGUAGACGAUGGGGAUGCGUUCCAUUAGAUAGUAGGCGGGGUAACGGCCCACCUAGUCUUCGAUGGAUAGGGGUUCUGAGAGGAAGGUCCCCCACAUUGGAACUGAGACACGGUCCAAACUCCUACGGGAGGCAGCAGUGAGGAAUAUUGGUCAAUGGGCGCAGGCCUGAACCAGCCAAGUAGCGUGAAGGAUGACUGCCCUAUGGGUUGUAAACUUCUUUUAUAAAGGAAUAAAGUCGGGUAUGGAUACCCGUUUGCAUGUACUUUAUGAAUAAGGAUCGGCUAACUCCGUGCCAGCAGCCGCGGUAAUACGGAGGAUCCGAGCGUUAUCCGGAUUUAUUGGGUUUAAAGGGAGCGUAGAUGGAUGUUUAAGUCAGUUGUGAAAGUUUGCGGCUCAACCGUAAAAUUGCAGUUGAUACUGGAUAUCUUGAGUGCAGUUGAGGCAGGCGGAAUUCGUGGUGUAGCGGUGAAAUGCUUAGAUAUCACGAAGAACUCCGAUUGCGAAGGCAGCCUGCUAAGCUGCAACUGACAUUGAGGCUCGAAAGUGUGGGUAUCAAACAGGAUUAGAUACCCUGGUAGUCCACACGGUAAACGAUGAAUACUCGCUGUUUGCGAUAUACGGCAAGCGGCCAAGCGAAAGCGUUAAGUAUUCCACCUGGGGAGUACGCCGGCAACGGUGAAACUCAAAGGAAUUGACGGGGGCCCGCACAAGCGGAGGAACAUGUGGUUUAAUUCGAUGAUACGCGAGGAACCUUACCCGGGCUUAAAUUGCAGAUGAAUUACGGUGAAAGCCGUAAGCCGCAAGGCAUCUGUGAAGGUGCUGCAUGGUUGUCGUCAGCUCGUGCCGUGAGGUGUCGGCUUAAGUGCCAUAACGAGCGCAACCCUUGUUGUCAGUUACUAACAGGUUCCGCUGAGGACUCUGACAAGACUGCCAUCGUAAGAUGUGAGGAAGGUGGGGAUGACGUCAAAUCAGCACGGCCCUUACGUCCGGGGCUACACACGUGUUACAAUGGGGGGUACAGAGGGCCGCUACCACGCGAGUGGAUGCCAAUCCCAAAAACCUCUCUCAGUUCGGACUGGAGUCUGCAACCCGACUCCACGAAGCUGGAUUCGCUAGUAAUCGCGCAUCAGCCACGGCGCGGUGAAUACGUUCCCGGGCCUUGUACACACCGCCCGUCAAGCCAUGGGAGCCGGGGGUACCUGAAGUGCGUAACCGCGAGGAGCGCCCUAGGGUAAAACUGGUGACUGGGGCU